Molecule: ribosomal RNA, 205 nt
Filed under: uncultured bacterium
Lineage: Bacteria
Description: partial 16S ribosomal RNA
Rfam family: Bacterial small subunit ribosomal RNA
Source: RNAcentral
UUCGUAGAUGGUUCAUUUUUUUUUUGUUAAAGCUUGAAAAUAAAUUUCAAAAGUGCUUAAAAUAAAUGUGAGCUUUGAGUAUAAUAGAGGAUAACAGAAUUUCAUACAUAGGAGUGAAAUCCGAUCAUUUAUGGAAGAAUGCCAAAAGCGAAAGCAGUUGUCUGGGUUAUUACUGACAUUGAGGAACGAAAGCAUAGGUAGAAAC